AGUGAACGCUGGCGGUGGGCCUAACACAUGCCAGUCGAGCGGCAGCACAGUAAGAGCUUGCUCUUACGGGUGGCGAGUGGCGGACGGGUGAGGAAUACAUCGGAAUCUACUUUUUCGUGGGGGAUAACGUAGGGAAACUUACGCUAAUACCGCAUACGACCUACGGGUGAAAGCAGGGGAUCUUCGGACCUUGCGCGAUUGAAUGAGCCGAUGUCGGAUUAGCUAGUUGGCGGGGUAAAGGCCCACCAAGGCGACGAUCCGUAGCUGGUCUGAGAGGAUGAUCAGCCACACUGGAACUGAGACACGGUCCAGACUCCUACGGGAGGCAGCAGUGGGGAAUAUUGGACAAUGGGCGCAAGCCUGAUCCAGCCAUACCGCGUGGGUGAAGAAGGCCUUCGGGUUGUAAAGCCCUUUUGUUGGGAAAGAAAAGCAGCAGGUUAAUACCCCGCUGUUCUGACGGUACCCAAAGAAUAAGCACCGGCUAACUUCGUG
RNAcentral lists this ribosomal RNA (492 nucleotides) under uncultured bacterium. RNAcentral's name for it is "partial 16S ribosomal RNA". It matches the Rfam family "Bacterial small subunit ribosomal RNA", at positions 29 to 507 of the family's 1533-position model. The record is from RNAcentral.